RNAcentral lists this transfer RNA (73 nucleotides) under Anguilla anguilla (European eel). Its description in RNAcentral is "tRNA-OTHER". Lineage: Eukaryota; Metazoa; Chordata; Actinopteri; Anguilliformes; Anguillidae. The record is from RNAcentral.
AGCAUGGUGGUGCACUGGAUAGCACUGUUGCCUCACAGCAAGAUGGUCCUGGGCUCGAUUCCCAGCCAGGAUC